UACUUUAGGCGCAGAGGCUAUGGGUCUACUUAGAACUCCACAGUUAAUUAUGCUUAGGUGAGACUAGUUCUCGGAUGGGUGACUUCGUGGGAAGUCUCCAU
This 101-nucleotide ribosomal RNA is filed under the name Helianthus annuus (common sunflower). The record is from RNAcentral. Lineage: Eukaryota; Viridiplantae; Streptophyta; Magnoliopsida; Asterales; Asteraceae.